Long non-coding RNA from Rhododendron vialii, 2044 nucleotides. RefSeq lists it as uncharacterized. The transcript is spliced from 2 exons. Lineage: Eukaryota; Viridiplantae; Streptophyta; Magnoliopsida; Ericales; Ericaceae. The record is from RefSeq and is a predicted model, not a curated record.
UCUCUCUCUCUCUCUCUCUCUCUCUCUCUCUCCAUGGCAGGUGUUAAGAACACCAAAUAAUAUACCUACGAGUUUUUGAUUCUGGGUCUCUUGAUUUAGUCAAGAAAGCCCAAUAACUUACAUGGAGUUUCUCAAUUUUUUUUUUUGAGAUGUGGGUUUCUUGAUGUAAAUUAGAUGCCCAAUAAUUAAUCAAUGAGGCUUGAGUUUUGUAUCACCUAUAGCAGAAGAGUACAUGAUCCAGAUUUGCUUGACCAAACUUUUCUCUGAUUUAUAAAUUGUCAUGUUACUUGUUGGACGAUGAGAUUUGCAUCUGGGGUUGGAAUAUUAAAAAUUUGAGGGUAGUGUGCUGAACAACACUUGCAGCCCUCAUUUCUUUGUCUUCUCUCUCUAUCGUUACUUUCCUUCUCUGUUCAGCAACAUAUUGAGGAUUUUGCUGAUAGGGAUAAUUGAUUGAGUUAAAAGCUUUUGCUUUUCUUUUUCAUUAGUAGGGAAUAUCAUUGAUUCAAUGAGUACAAAUGGAGAGCCCAUGACCCCAUUGUUCAUUAUAUAUCAUCAUAUCCAUAUUACUGCAUAAAAGUAUCCCAAAUUAUCUCCCAAAUCGUCUCAACUAAAAGAUCCAAAAUUGACUCUCAAUUUGAGCUUCAAGUGCUUCUACUCUCUCCCUCAAAUAAACUACUAUAGACAAAGAGGAGAUAUGUUCUUAACUUUGCCUUUUUCAUUGUACAAACUUCCCAUCCUAUGCAACUAGCCAUCAUCUUAGGACUAUAAUUUUCUAAAAUCCAACUUGUUGAGUGAAUGAGUCAGUGUAAUUCAUGGCAUUUGGCCCAAGCUAUUCUUACUCUCUCAUCAGAUUGUUGUAUGGCCAGAAAUGGAUUGAUGGAGAACCAUCAAGUGUCCUCCAAUAUUAUUGCCUUAAUGUCAUUGUUUUGGCUAUGAAUGGUUAAAUUAUUUACAUAGUUUUGUCUAAUUAUUAUUCAUGCCUGCAUACUAUAUAUAUACCUACAUAUAAAUUAUUUUAACUUUAUAUAUAUACGAAGGCAUCAUGUACCCUAUGGGACAGGAUUAGCAAUAACACCCCACUCUUAGGUUGGCUAAUCCCAUCAGCUAGGGGGAUUGGGCAUCACAUGGGAUUCCUAAUCCAUGGGAUGAAAUCACCCAAGCAUGGUUUUUGGUUCGUAGAUCACUUUGGUAAUCCUAUCCUAUGGUCCAAUCCUACUAUCAAACAGGUCCUAAAAGUAGGUUUCACGGAACUUAGUUCUUGGCAUUUGUUUUGAACCCCAUUUAUUGGACUCUCUUUCAAUCAGACAGACUUUGAUGUAUCCUAAUUUUGUUUACUUCUUAAGAAAUAUUGAACUCUCUUUCCUUAUAGUCUUUCUUUAUUUUAAUGUUUGUUUUUAGAAUAGAACUAGGGCUCUUCCUUUAUAAAAGGUUCUUUUUCGCUGACUUGUGCAGUUUUUUGAAAGAAAUGUUAAGAAGGAUUUAGAUUCUGAUGAUCAAGGAACUGGAGAUGAAGAACAUUCUUGAGGCCUCACCUGAUGCCAAUAUCAAGCAUUUUGAUUCUUUGUGCUUAGUGGAGCAGGUAGAUCUUUGUUCAUUUACUAUAAUGUUACUGAGAUCCUUUCUAAAACUGAACUGGAAUUGCUUGAAUUGAAUUUGACAACAGUUGAGAUGCCAAGCAUUGAGUACAUGUUGGUUUAAUGUCUCAGCUUCUGUCUUCAGACCGAUUUGUUCCCAAUUUGAUGUUGUAUCUUCUAUUUCUGAUGCAUAUAUUCGUCGCUGCUACUUAGGAAUGAUAUUUUAAUGUUCUGCAGAAUGGAGGUGCUGCUAUUUGGUUUUCAGUGAUGCUUUGAUGUAGUGCUCUUCAUUUCUUGAAGACCUCGUCAGUACAAGAAGAAUUCAGAAAGCAUCUUUUUAUUUGUUGAGUAGUGUACUCUCAAUGUAUAAUUACGAAACAUUGUAUGUGGUUUGAUAGAAAAUAUUGUGAAUAUUUUUGGACAAUAUGUUUUUCAUUUAGAAUUAUGAGAGGCAGAUUUGUAUGAUAUUA